RNAcentral lists this transfer RNA (63 nucleotides) under Cofana yasumatsui. Its description in RNAcentral is "tRNA-Asn". Lineage: Eukaryota; Metazoa; Arthropoda; Insecta; Hemiptera; Cicadellidae. The record is from RNAcentral.
UUAAUUGAAGCCAGUUUUGGCAUUUCAUUGUUAAUGAAAAAUUAGAUCUAUGAUCCUGUUAAA